This 718-nucleotide ribosomal RNA is filed under the name uncultured bacterium. RNAcentral's name for it is "bacterial SSU rRNA". It matches the Rfam family "Bacterial small subunit ribosomal RNA", at positions 140 to 853 of the family's 1533-position model. The record is from RNAcentral.
GGGAUAACUACUGGAAACGGUAGCUAAUACCGCAUAACGUCGCAAGACCAAAGAGGGGGACCUUCGGGCCUCUUGCCAUCGGAUGUGCCCAGAUGGGAUUAGCUAGUAGGUGGGGUAACGGCUCACCUAGGCGACGAUCCCUAGCUGGUCUGAGAGGAUGACCAGCCACACUGGAACUGAGACACGGUCCAGACUCCUACGGGAGGCAGCAGUGGGGAAUAUUGCACAAUGGGCGCAAGCCUGAUGCAGCCAUGCCGCGUGUAUGAAGAAGGCCUUCGGGUUGUAAAGUACUUUCAGCGGGGAGGAAGGGAGUAAAGUUAAUACCUUUGCUCAUUGACGUUACCCGCAGAAGAAGCACCGGCUAACUCCGUGCCAGCAGCCGCGGUAAUACGGAGGGUGCAAGCGUUAAUCGGAAUUACUGGGCGUAAAGCGCACGCAGGCGGUUUGUUAAGUCAGAUGUGAAAUCCCCGGGCUCAACCUGGGAACUGCAUCUGAUACUGGCAAGCUUGAGUCUCGUAGAGGGGGGUAGAAUUCCAGGUGUAGCGGUGAAAUGCGUAGAGAUCUGGAGGAAUACCGGUGGCGAAGGCGGCCCCCUGGACGAAGACUGACGCUCAGGUGCGAAAGCGUGGGGAGCAAACGGGAUUAGAUACCCUGGUAGUCCACGCCGUAAACGAUGUCGACUUGGAGGUUGUGCCCUUGAGGCGUGGCUUCCGGAGCU